AGAGUUUGAUCCUGGCUCAGAAUGAACGCUGGCGGCGUGCCUAACACAUGCAAGUCGGAUGUGCCGCAAGGUGCAUGGCAGACGGGUGAGUAACGCGUAGGGAAUCUACCUUUUUGUGGGGAAUAACGCUCCGAAAGGAGUGGUAAUACCGCAUGAGACCGCAGACUGGGAUGUUUGUGGUGAAACCUGGGGACCGCAAGGCCUGGGGCAAGAAGAGGAUCCUGCGUCUGAUUAGCUAGUUGGCGGGGUAAUGGCCCACCAAGGCGACGAUCAGUAGCCGGCCUGAGAGGGUGAUCGGCCACACUGGAACUGAGACACGGUCCAGACUCCUACGGGAGGCAGCAGUGGGGAAUUUUGCGCAAUGGACGAGAGUCUGACGCAGCAACGCCGCGUGGGUGAUGAAGGUCUUCGGACUGU
This 417-nucleotide ribosomal RNA is filed under the name uncultured bacterium. RNAcentral describes it as "bacterial SSU rRNA". It matches the Rfam family "Bacterial small subunit ribosomal RNA", at positions 8 to 426 of the family's 1533-position model. The record is from RNAcentral.